GUGGGGAAUAUUGCACAAUGGGCGCAAGCCUGAUGCAGCCAUGCCGCGUGUAUGAAGAAGGCCUUCGGRUUGUAAAGYACUUUCAGUKGGGAGGAAGGCCAUUCGSUUAAUAACCUWGUCGAUUGACGUUACCCGCAGAAUAAGCACCGGCUAACUCCGUGCCAGCAGCCGCGGUAAUACRGAGGGUGCAAGCGUUAAUCGGAAUUACUGGGCGUAAAGCGCRCGCAGGCGGUCUGUUAAGUCAGAUGUGAAAUCCCCGGGCUYAACCUGGGAACUGCAUUCRAAACUGRCAGRCUAGAGUCURGUAGAGGGGGGUWGAAUUCCASGUGUAGCGGUGAAAUGCGUAGAKAUCKGRAGGAACACCRGUGGCGAAGGCGACCCCCUGACAAAKACUGACGCUCAGGNCGAAGCG
Molecule: ribosomal RNA, 412 nt
Filed under: bacterium 9C1
Lineage: Bacteria
Description: partial 16S ribosomal RNA
Rfam family: Bacterial small subunit ribosomal RNA
Source: RNAcentral